Long non-coding RNA from Pseudopipra pipra, 3443 nucleotides. RefSeq lists it as uncharacterized. The record is from RefSeq and is a predicted model, not a curated record. NCBI's taxonomy places the organism in Eukaryota, Metazoa, Chordata, Aves, Passeriformes, Pipridae. The transcript is spliced from 3 exons.
UUUUUUUGCCUUUUUUUUUUUUUUUCCUGUCCUAUCCUCUUCCUCAGACCACUUAUCUCUGCCCCCUCCUCUCUCCCAGCACCCAUCACAGCCUUCCCCUGAUCUGCCCCUUUAAGAAAAAUCAGCCCUCUCCGCUCCUCACCCUCCGCACACUGACCUUACACACUGGACAAUAUUUAAGGAUCAAGGUGCCAUCCUAUAAAGAGGUGAUUAUCAUUAUAUUAUUAUUACUACUACUAUUAUUACUACUACUAAAUAGCAAUGCUGAAGAGAGUUUAACAGAUGUCAUCUUGCAGUCGUAGUUUAGACAUGCUUUUGUUUUUAGUCUGAAAAAUAUUUUUUUACGUAAAGUUUUCAACCAGCGUCUGUCUUUAUUUUCUCCCUCUUUUUUUUCCUUUUUUUAACCCUCUUCUCCUUUCUCGCCCCCUUUGGCUCGGGGGGGGAUUUCGCCUAACUUUAAGAAAAACAACUUUUAAAAUAACAGAAUUUGCGCUGUUGUGUUUUGUCGGUAUUUCUCGUGUUUCUACCAGAAUGUUUCGGCGCUCGGCGGCUUCUCCCCUUCUCCCCCGCUCGGGUUGUCGGUGUUUGCGGGCGUUUCGACCCGGGCCGCGGCCCCCACGUCGAGAGGGCCCCGGGCCCCGCACCCCGUCGGGAGGGGACGGGGAGGGAGGGCGGCCGCUCCCCUCCGCCUUCCAGGUGGAAGGAAAGCAGUGCGCCGGGGCAGCGCUCCCCAGGGACGGGGGAAGCCGGGAGACACCCGAGGAAAGGGGGGAGAGGAAGGACAGACACCCCCGGAGCGUCGGGGAGCCCCGCAGGACCUGCCCACCCCCCCGGAGCGGAGGUAGCGAGAGCCCGGGCAGAGCCGCUUUGAAGAGAGGAGCGAAGUGUAAAUAGCCGGUGAUUGAUGUGCUGGCUUUGACUGCGGAGAAAGCACUAUUUUAAUUCAAGUGGCCAGGUCAGAUGGUCACGGAAGAAGGUUGAAAGAAGAAAUCGCUGGCUCCUCUGGCCAUGAAAAAACACCGUGUAAAUUGCCAUUUCAGAUUUUUCAAAAAACAUGUUCAGCUCUAAGAAUUCUUCCGAAUUCGUUACACUCCGCCGCGCGAGGCUGCGCCUUGAUGGCCCCGGCGAAGAGUUCUAAAGCCGGAAAUAUUUAUCUGUUCCAAAUACACCUGAAAAAAAACCUCUCGGUGCUGGAUAAACGCUGCUCUUCUGCAGCAGAAGGAAUUAAAACGGCGAGAUUUUGAUAGCAGGAAGAUCUCUAAACGCGAACCUCAAUUCUUACUGGGUUUGCAAAACCUGUUUACAAGGCGACAUGAUCUCUGCCUUCGAACACCCCCUCACACACACACGCCCCCGCUGUUGUCUUUUUGGGAUUAAAAGAAGAUGAUCCAACGGGCUAAGGAUGUAAAAGUCCUUUUGGGAACGCGAUAAACUGCAAAAAGCCAGUGGCAACUCAUUUCUGAUUAACUCCUUUUUACAAAGGGGCGGAAUGGAAGCGAACAGGGACCCGACGGGACACGAACAUAUUUUAUUCAUUUAAUACAAAGCAGCUUUCAAAAAAAAAAAAAUCUUAAAAAAGGCAGUUCAGAGCAUAACUCACGGGCCGGGGGGGAAGGCAAAAACCUGAUGGGGUGUGAGGUGAUGUCGCCGUCAUCCCUCGCUCCCGGGAGAGCGGGCAGCGCUCCGGGCAGCGGGAGGGACGCGCUCCCCGGGCUGGGGGGGACACACAGCCCUGGACCCCCGGCCAGCCCCAGGGGGGGCGGCCCCUUUGCUGGGGACCCCCCCAGUAGGACCCCGGCUCUCCCCGCUCCCCGUAAAGGCGGAAUCAAGGAAAUCAUGUAAGUGCCCGGAGCACAAAGAGCUCCUGUCCUCGGCUCUGCAGAUCAUAACCAGAGAUGGGAAAGUAUUUACGGCACCCUCCGAGUGACUGGGCCAUCGCUACCAAAAAAAUAAUAUUUUUAACCACAGGGAACCGAGAGUUCACGUAGAUUUACAAAUUAAUGAGGACUUACUGGAGAAAGUAACUGCAAGAACAUGUGUUAAAACGCAACAGAAAGAAUUCCAUCGAUUUCCAUGAGAGGUGGACUGCAUCCAGGAAGAAUGAGUCAACUUCAUUCCUUGGGCAAAACUCACGAACUGAAGAGAAUUACUGCAGGCAUGCUUUUGGAUCACCCCGCGUCCCCCCAGUUCAUGUACUGCUGUCCCACUGACUACCUCUUAAAUGCUGUGAUGGGUUAGAACGGGGUGGGGAUUCCUCUCAAGAAUGCUUUUAAUCACUGGGAACUGAUGUUUGAACAAAUAUAUUUCCCCCACAAUAUCACAUCAGUCACGAGUAACUGUUCAGCCAAAAAGGCUCUCGCAAGACAACACAAAGCAGUGCAGGACAGAACAGCUCAGGGCACCAGGAGGAACAGAGGCUUUCACACAUCACAGGGACUCACUCCUGUCUUCUGGCUGUUUGUCCUGCUGCUAAAUCUCGUUUCUCCUCUCCCCACAAUUUGAGUGUUAAAUUGUGCAAGGGUUUGGUUUCGUUUCCGUGGAGGAGGUGAAAACUCUUGAAGCCACUGAAAAGUUUCCUCCCCAGCUCCAUUCCCCUGCUGCAGGGAGGUGCUGUUCCCCUCAGGGGAACGAGCAGCACCUUUAACUGAGAGAGAAACCCUUCCCCAGUCACACAUGCACAUUGCCUGGGUUUUAUUUUACAGGUGGAGGAACGAACUACCCAUUAAUUUAAGAGAUUUGAGUUGAAACCUCAGAACACUGUGAUGGGAGCAAUGAGGAGACAAACCCUGACACACUCUGAGUUCUGCUCUUUGCCUUCAGAAGCCCCAAGUUUCACACAGACCCUCCCAUAACUUAUUAACACACAGAGGGCAUGUCAAACAUUUAGAAACAAGGUCAUCAGGCUUCUCAGCCUUACUGGUGACUUUUUAGCCCACAAAUUUCCCACAUGAGAGCUCUUGGCAGUCCCACAGGAGCACCACAGGUUUGUUGUUGAAAAUAAGUGAGGUGCAGCUCGUGAUAAGAUAAUCAAUGAACAGUUAAAAACCAAGCUCCAAAGACAUGGUUAGAAAAUUAAAUGCAAAUAUAUACAAACUAGUCAAUGGUUUCUAUGAACAUAAAUGUCUGUCUACCUCAUGACUGCUAUUUUCCAGCCAGCUUUCCAACCAGUGCAGUCUUUGCACUUCUCUAUCUACAAUUGUACCAUUUAUAAGCCAGGAGCCCACCUCGCCCAUGUGCUUGUUCCUACAGUGACUCAUGUUCCACUGGGUUUUAUUCCUGUGAAGACUCGUGCUGAACCAGAGGAAAGAGCAGAACCUUUGGGGAAGGAAUGGCACGGUUUGGAAAGCAUCAGACACACUCACUGCUCCCUGUCAGAAAACGAAAGCUCUGGUUUACAUCUCAUGUGAGAAAAUGGCCUUAAAAAUAAAAUAUUGCUAUGAUAA